Molecule: ribosomal RNA, 460 nt
Filed under: uncultured bacterium
Lineage: Bacteria
Description: partial 16S ribosomal RNA
Rfam family: Bacterial small subunit ribosomal RNA
Source: RNAcentral
AGCGAACGCUGGCGGCAGGCCUAACACAUGCCAGUCGAACGGGCACUUUCGGGUGUCUGCCGCGGACGGGUGAGUAGCGCGUGAGAACGUGCCCUCUGGUUGGGAAUUACUCAGGGAAACUUGAGAUAAUACCGGAAACUCCCCUUUGGGGAGAGGCUUGCUGCCGGAGGAUCGGCGCGCGUCUGAUUAGCUAGGUGGUGAGGUAACGGCUCACCAAGGCGACGAUCAGUAGGUGGUCUGAGGGGAUGAUCCGCCACUCUGGGACUGAGACACGGUCCAGACUCCUACGGGAGGCAGCAGUGGGGAAUAUUGGACAAUGGGCGCAAGCCUGAUCCAGCCAUACCGCGUGGGUGAAGAAGGCCUUCGGGUUGUAAAGCCCUUUUGUUGGGAAAGAAAAGCAGCAGGUUAAUACCCCGCUGUUCUGACGGUACCCAAAGAAUAAGCACCGGCUAACUUCGUG